AGAACGAACGCUGGCGGCAUGCCUAAUACAUGCAAGUCGAACGAACUCUUCGGAGUUAGUGGCGCACGGGUGCGUAACGCGUGGGAAUCUGCCCCUUGGUUCGGAAUAACAGUUGGAAACGACUGCUAAUACCGGAUGAUGACGAAAGUCCAAAGAUUUAUCGCCAAGGGAUGAGCCCGCGUAGGAUUAGCUAGUUGGUGAGGUAAAGGCUCACCAAGGCGACGAUCCUUAGCUGGUCUGAGAGGAUGAUCGGCCACACUGGGACUGAGACACGGCCCAGACUCCUACGGGAGGCAGCAGUAGGGAAUAUUGGACAAGUGGGACGAAAGCCUGAUCCAGCAAUGCCGCGUGAGUGAUGAAG
RNAcentral lists this ribosomal RNA (361 nucleotides) under uncultured soil bacterium. RNAcentral describes it as "bacterial SSU rRNA". It matches the Rfam family "Bacterial small subunit ribosomal RNA", at positions 26 to 413 of the family's 1533-position model. The record is from RNAcentral.